Molecule: long non-coding RNA, 685 nt
Organism: Humulus lupulus (European hop)
Lineage: Eukaryota; Viridiplantae; Streptophyta; Magnoliopsida; Rosales; Cannabaceae
Exons: 3
Source: RefSeq, a predicted model, not a curated record
UGAGAGAGGGACGUGGGAAGAAAAUGGGAAAGGGAGAGAUUUGGUUUCCCUUUUUGUGCUCCAUCACUUGAUUUUUGGUGAUGGAAUCAAGAGAGGAAAAAUCAAGUCAUUAUUGGAGAUUAUUUCCAUUAGGGUUAGGCUUGAGAUAAAAGGAAAAUAGAGGGAUUUUCCCUCACACUUUGGUGUGUGACCGACGGCUAGAGAGAGAGAGUGUAUGUGAGAGCAAGAGAGGGAAGGAGAAAGAGAAGGAGAAAGGAAGAAGAAGGAGGAGGAGAAAAGAGGAGGGGUUCGAAUUCUAUAGGUGCCAAAGGGGAAUCAACUUUGUGAGUUUGAUUGCUAUCAAAGGAGGAAAUAAAUUGCUAUGGAAAUGGAAGUUCGAUGUUUUACUAUGUCAUGAUUAGCCAAGUGUUAGAAAAGUGAAAUUCAAUGUUGAUAUGGUAUGUUAAGACAAGUGUUAUGAAGCAUGUAAUUUCUAUGUUUUUCAUGUGGAUUGUGUUACAUGUGCUUGUAUGAUGAAUGAAAAGAAAAGGUUGCCAGCGGUCUGAACACGAUGCAACAAAGAAGUUACUAAGGAUAUGACAUAACUCAAAGGGUGGACACGCCGAGGUUAUUCAUGUUGGGAAUAAUGUCCUUAAAGUAAUUGUAGUUGACGAAUGUUUUAAAUGAAAUAAAUAAUUGAAUUGAA